RNAcentral lists this ribosomal RNA (252 nucleotides) under uncultured bacterium. RNAcentral's name for it is "partial 16S ribosomal RNA". It matches the Rfam family "Bacterial small subunit ribosomal RNA", at positions 524 to 776 of the family's 1533-position model. The record is from RNAcentral.
UACGUAGGGUGCAAGCGUUAAUCGGAAUUACUGGGCGUAAAGCGUGCGCAGGCGGUUUUGUAAGUCUGUCGUGAAAUCCCCGGGCUCAACCUGGGAAUUGCGAUGGAGACUGCAAGGCUAGAAUCUGGCAGAGGGGGGUAGAAUUCCACGUGUAGCAGUGAAAUGCGUAGAGAUGUGGAGGAAUACCGAUGGCGAAGGCAGCCCCCUGGGUCAAGAUUGACGCUCAUGCACGAAAGCGUGGGAGCAAACAGG